GGCAGUGGUAGCUCAGUGGUUAAGAGGUUGGACUUCUGCUUGGACUGUCAUGAGUUCAAAUCCCAGCGCUGCCA
This is a non-coding RNA of Pangasius djambal, 74 nucleotides long. The record is from the annotation of a GenBank genome assembly. NCBI's taxonomy places the organism in Eukaryota, Metazoa, Chordata, Actinopteri, Siluriformes, Pangasiidae.